This 305-nucleotide ribosomal RNA is filed under the name uncultured bacterium. RNAcentral describes it as "bacterial SSU rRNA". It matches the Rfam family "Bacterial small subunit ribosomal RNA", at positions 332 to 655 of the family's 1533-position model. The record is from RNAcentral.
UGGAGCCUACGGGGCGCAGCAGUGGGGGAUAUUGCACAAUGGGGGGAACCCUGAUGCAGCGACGCCGCGUGGGCGAUGGAGUACUUCGGUAUGUAUAGCCCUAUCAGCAGGGAAGAAAAUGACGGUACCCGACUAAGAAGCCCCGGCUAAAUACGUGCCAGCAGCCGCGGUAAUACGUAUGGGGCAAGCGUUAUCCGGAUUUACUGGGUGUAAAGGGAGCGUAGGCGGCCUGGCAAGCCUGAUGUGAAAUACCGGGGCCCAACCCCGGGGCUGCAUUGGGAACUGCCAGGCUGGAGUGCCGGAGA